Long non-coding RNA from Ornithodoros turicata, 639 nucleotides. RefSeq lists it as uncharacterized. The record is from RefSeq and is a predicted model, not a curated record. The transcript is spliced from 3 exons. NCBI's taxonomy places the organism in Eukaryota, Metazoa, Arthropoda, Arachnida, Ixodida, Argasidae.
AAAAUUUCGCACUUUGCUCGCAAAAGCCCGUCCGCGAACCGGCAACAUGUUCUAUGUAUGAUAUCACGGCCAGUUCGCCUCGGAGGCGGGCCGUAGCAGCUGCUGUUCACGCCUGUGCUUCUCUCAAUGACCACUCUCUCUCUGAACACACGGUGAACUGAUGUGAUUCGAACCGCCCCUGUGCAACAACGUUAAACGCCAACUGAGUCAAUCGAUAGCAGUCUUGGAUCCUUCAAGUGUCGGCUACGCGCCACGAGGAAGUCGGCGUUCAAGAAAGCCAGGCUCCAACACGGAGGUGUGGAAACCUCGGCGCGCUCUCUCAUUAAUUUGUCACGCAAUUUAGGCCCCCGCUUCUGUCUAUUAGUCAAGACAUGUUUUAUGCAAAGAACUCGUCCGCCGCUGCUUUCGACGUGUGCUCGCUCGACAAAAUCGGCUGGCGCUUGCCUAGUGACAAACGAAGCGAAACUUCAUCUGCAUUCCUGUGUGCUCACAUUCCGCUACUGAUAUUGCAGUUUCACCUCAUGUUGCCGUGUUUACUAGCACGGAGGCGUCUGCGUUUCUAUUAGUAGAACGUGAAGAAAAACAAUGUGCAAGUUUCCGGCGAUGCAGAAUCAAAAAUAACAAAGACGGUUAAGAGCA